This 465-nucleotide ribosomal RNA is filed under the name Vreelandella stevensii. RNAcentral describes it as "partial 16S ribosomal RNA". It matches the Rfam family "Bacterial small subunit ribosomal RNA", at positions 338 to 795 of the family's 1533-position model. The record is from RNAcentral. Lineage: Bacteria; Pseudomonadati; Pseudomonadota; Gammaproteobacteria; Oceanospirillales; Halomonadaceae.
CCUACGGGUGGCAGCAGUGGGGAAUAUUGGACAAUGGGCGAAAGCCUGAUCCAGCCAUGCCGCGUGUGUGAAGAAGGCCUUCGGGUUGUAAAGCACUUUCAGUGGGGAAGAAAGCCUUGGGGCUAAUACCCUCGAGGAAGGACAUCACCCACAGAAGAAGCACCGGCUAACUCCGUGCCAGCAGCCGCGGUAAUACGGAGGGUGCGAGCGUUAAUCGGAAUUACUGGGCGUAAAGCGCGCGUAGGCGGUCUGAUAAGCCGGUUGUGAAAGCCCCGGGCUCAACCUGGGAACGGCAUCCGGAACUGUCAGGCUAGAGUGCAGGAGAGGAAGGUAGAAUUCCCGGUGUAGCGGUGAAAUGCGUAGAGAUCGGGAGGAAUACCGGUGGCGAAGGCGGCCUUCUGGACUGACACUGACGCUGAGGUGCGAAAGCGUGGGUAGCAAACAGGAUUAGAUACCCUAGUAGUC